AGCCAUCACCCGAAAAGGGUGUGGGGACAAGAGAUACCCCGGGAACAUCGGAGGAGUAUAGAAAUAGAGGACUUGAAGAGUCUAAAAGACCAGUAUUGGUGUUAACAGCCAUGAUAUAUCAACAAGGAAAAACAGAUUCAGCAACCAGAAUGUAACAAAUCAAAUAGCCACACACAAAGCCAACUAUUCAAACACAAAGCCAAAAUCGAUAUACACAAACCAGGUAAUAUUGGAUUUUAAGACAAAGUUACCCUCCUUCUUCGCUACCGGAAGAAGAUCGGCCUUCAAAUGGUAGUGAAAACCCUAGGUAUGAAACCCUAGGUUCAGACGUCGAGUCAGUCACCGGAAAUAUGAGAAACGAUGUCGGAAAGUUACCCAAACAUCCACGAGAUGAGAAUCGGACCACCGGAAGACGGUAAAACAGCAAG
This 428-nucleotide long non-coding RNA is filed under the name Nicotiana benthamiana. RNAcentral describes it as "long non-coding RNA (NBEN_LNC040192)". The record is from RNAcentral. Lineage: Eukaryota; Viridiplantae; Streptophyta; Magnoliopsida; Solanales; Solanaceae.